RNAcentral lists this long non-coding RNA (1563 nucleotides) under Sus scrofa (pig). Its description in RNAcentral is "lncRNA (ENSSSCG00050076716.1)". The record is from RNAcentral. Lineage: Eukaryota; Metazoa; Chordata; Mammalia; Artiodactyla; Suidae.
UUUUUUUUUUUUUUUUUUUUUUGUCUUUUUGCCAUUUCUUGGGUCGCUCCCGCGGCAUAUGGAGGUGUGGCCCUAAAAAGAAAAAAAAAAGAAUGUUCUUGAUGAAGCAGCAAAAAUUACUGAUAUUAUUAAACUUUAGUAAACUAUUAAAUUGCAUUAAAUCUCAACCUUUCUUACAUCUUCUUAAUAGUCUGUAAAAUGAAAUGGGAAAUACAUAUAAAGCUUUCUGCUGCAUGUCAAAGUACAAUGGCUAUGUUCAGGUAAAAUACUUGUGCAACUGUUUAAAUUGUGAGCCAUUUUUACUUGCAAGCACAAUUGACAAAAAAUGGUUAUUCAGACUUAGGUACCCGGCAAUUGUCUUCUCAAAAAUGAACAAAAUGGGAUUGUCACGUGAGGGAAAAUAAUUGACAGUCGUGUGUUGUCAAUGAUAAAAUUCAAACUUUCAAGUGAAAAUUAGAAUUUUGGGACUCUUAUAUCUUCCAGUAUGAGUUGAAAGCUUUCUAACAACUCCUCUGUUGAGAUUGAUUCUGAUAUUAAUAAAUAUGAAUUUUUAAUAUUUUAUAAUAAAAUGUCAUUUAGCUCAGUGAACAUAAUUCAGGGGACCACUAUUUUCCAAACACUGUAACAUCCAAUGUAUAAUGUUACAAAAUCUUGGUGGAUAAAAGAUUCACUCAAAGUGAAAGAUAUACGAAUGGACUUUAAUACAAAGAGUAUAAAAAUUCAAUGAUAUGGUUUCAGAUUAAACACUACUAACUCUUAAAAAACUACCACUUGUCAAGUUUUGGUAUAGUAUCAAAGAAGAGAAAAACAGUCCUCUUUUCUCCAACUACAUGCAUUGAUAAACCUGGAUUUUCUUCAUAAACUUUACCCAAAAUAAUAUAACAACUUAAUGCAGAAGCAAAUUUGAGAAUCCUAUCUUCUACUAAGUCAGAAAUAAAAAAAGAUUUGUAAAAAUGUAAAAACAAUACCAGUCUUCCCUCUAAAUAUGUUUGUUUCAGAAAAUAGAGUUAUUUCCCAUUUUAUAACGUAUUGCUUAUAUUAACGUAACUUAUGUUAACAGCUAUUAACUAAUGUUAAUAGCAAAUAUGGCUUUGCUGCUGUCAUUCUUAAAUGAGUAAUAAAUAAAAUUUCUUUCGGGAGUUCCCUUCAUGGCUCAACAGUUAAGGAACCUGACUAGGAUCCAUGAGGAUGCAGGUUCAAUCCCUGGACUCACUCAGUGGGUUAAGGACCCAGCACUGCCAUGAGCUGUGGGGUAGGUCGCAGACGCAGCUCAGAUCCUGCGUUGUUGUGGCUGUGGUGUAGGGCUGCAGCUGAAGCUCAGAUCCAAGCCCUAGCCUGGGAACUUCCAUAUGCCACAAGUGUGGCUCUAAAAAGAAAAAAGAAAAAACAAAAUUCCUUUUGAGUUCCCACGUUCAUUUAUAAUACAGCAAAUAUGGAUAGAUAUAAGCCACAUAAAUGAAAGUUCUUCAGAGUUUCAUUAAGUUUUAAGACUAUAAAGGGAUCCUCAGCCCUUAAUUUGAGAAUCACUAGGUACAGCAUUGAAGAGACUAGAAUGUGCAGUUA